CCUACGGGCGGCUGCAGUGGGGAAUAUUGGACAAUGGGGGGAACCCUGAUCCAGCAAUGCCGCGUGUGUGAAGAAGGCCUGAGGGUUGUAAAGCACUUUCAGUGGGGAGGAGGAUUGACAGGUUAAGAGCUGGUUAAUUGGACGUUACCCACAGAAGCAGCACCGGCUAACUCCGUGCCAGCAGACGCGGUAAUACGGAGGGUGCAAGCGUUAAUCGGAAUUACUGGGCGUAAAGGGUGCGUAGGUGGUUAUAUAAUGUAACGGUGAAAUCCCCGGGCUCAACCUGGGCAGGUCAGUUAAGACGGUGUAACUCGAGUAUGGGAGAGGGUAGUGGAAUUUCCGGUGUAGCGGUGAAAUGCGUAGAGAUCGGAAGGAACACCAGUGGCGAAGGCGGCUACCUGGCCCAAUACUGACACUGAGGCACGAAAGCGUGGGGAGCAAACAGGAUUAGAUACCCCUGUAGUC
This 465-nucleotide ribosomal RNA is filed under the name uncultured Legionellaceae bacterium. RNAcentral's name for it is "bacterial SSU rRNA". It matches the Rfam family "Bacterial small subunit ribosomal RNA", at positions 338 to 795 of the family's 1533-position model. Lineage: Bacteria; Pseudomonadati; Pseudomonadota; Gammaproteobacteria; Legionellales; Legionellaceae. The record is from RNAcentral.